Long non-coding RNA from Bufo bufo (common toad), 562 nucleotides. RefSeq lists it as uncharacterized. The transcript is spliced from 3 exons. The record is from RefSeq and is a predicted model, not a curated record. NCBI's taxonomy places the organism in Eukaryota, Metazoa, Chordata, Amphibia, Anura, Bufonidae.
CCUGCAGUCCCUAUGCAAAAGUACAUAGGGACUGCUGGUACUAUAAGUAUAUAGGGGAUGCAAGGAGUAGUAGUCAUAGGUACAAGAAUAUAACUUACAUUCCUCGUAUUCAUUUUUUAGAAACGAAAAAAAAAAAAUCCCGCCUGCCAGCUUGACGGCCUUCCCGCCUGCUAGCUUGACGGCCUUACCGCCUGCCAUCCUUCACGCCAGCCUGCCGGCCAUUCUAAAUUUCCAUAAAUGGAAAGUAAGGGUCUGCUUGUCGUGUGAUAAGUUCAAAUAUUAUUAUUAUUUUUUUAAUAGACAUAUCUUCUUCAAGUGAGGCCGGGAGCCCUAAUCCUCGCCGACAUCGGCGAAAUGCUACGUCAUCAUCUAAAGAUGAGGUGCAUCCCAGCCAACAAGAAACAGCAGAGGAGGAAAGUGGGGGUGGAGCACAGCCAUCUCAUCCCGUUGCCUCACAGAGAGGUCCUCAAGCCUCCACCAGAGGAAGUCGGGGAGAUCGCGGCGGUCAGGGUCUUGCUUCCAGAAUCUCCAAUUUAACUUUAAUGGCGAUAGAGCUCAAUUG